Molecule: ribosomal RNA, 301 nt
Filed under: uncultured bacterium
Lineage: Bacteria
Description: partial 16S ribosomal RNA
Rfam family: Bacterial small subunit ribosomal RNA
Source: RNAcentral
CAGUCGCCGCGGGAAUACGUAGGUGGCAAGCGUUGUCCGGAAUUAUUGGGCGUAAAGGGCUCGCAGGCGGUUUCUUAAGUCUGAUGUGAAAGCCCCCGGCUCAACCGGGGAGGGUCAUUGGAAACUGGGAAACUUGAGUGCAGAAGAGGAUAGUGGAAUUCCACGUGUAGCGGUGAAAUGCGUAGAGAUGUGGAGGAACACCAGUGGCGAAGGCGACUCUCUGGUCUGUAACUGACGCUGAGGAGCGAAAGCGUGGGGAGCGAACAGGAUUAGAUACCCGAGUAGUCCCUGUCUCUUAUAC